RNAcentral lists this ribosomal RNA (449 nucleotides) under Sporobolomyces carnicolor. Its description in RNAcentral is "partial large subunit ribosomal RNA". It matches the Rfam family "Eukaryotic large subunit ribosomal RNA", at positions 122 to 600 of the family's 3401-position model. Lineage: Eukaryota; Fungi; Basidiomycota; Microbotryomycetes; Sporidiobolales; Sporidiobolaceae. The record is from RNAcentral.
CUGGCGCCUUCGGCGUCCGAGUUGUAAUCUCGAGAAGUGUUUUCCGUGAUAGACCGCAUACAAGUCUCUUGGAACAGAGCGUCAUAGUGGUGAGAACCCAGUACACGAUGCGGAUGCCUAUUACUUUGUGAUACACUUUCGAAGAGUCGAGUUGUUUGGGAAUGCAGCUCAAAUUGGGUGGUAAAUUCCAUCUAAAGCUAAAUAUUGGCGAGAGACCGAUAGCGAACAAGUACCGUGAGGGAAAGAUGAAAAGCACUUUGGAAAGAGAGUUAACAGUACGUGAAAUUGUUGGAAGGGAAACACAUGCAGUGAUACUUGCUAUUCGGGGCAACUCGAUUGGCAGGCCCGCAUCAGUUUUUCGGGGCGGAAAAUCAUAGAGAGAAGGUAGCAGUCUCGGCUGUGUUAUAGCUCUUUAUUGGAUUCGCCCUGGGGGACUGAGGAACGCAGCG